AGUUACUUGACGUAGACCCGAAACCGGGCGACCUACCCAUGAGCAGGAUGAAGCGAAAGUAAAAUUUCGUGGAGGUCCGAACCCACGAGCGUUGAAAAGCCCGGGGAUGACUUGUGGGUAGCGGUGAAAUUCCAAUCGAGCCCGGAGAUAGCUGGUUCUCCCCGAAAUAGCUUUAGGGCUAGCCUCAAGGUGAGAGAUACGGAGGUAGAGCACUGAAUGUCCUAGGGG
This 228-nucleotide ribosomal RNA is filed under the name Clostridioides difficile. RNAcentral describes it as "partial 23S ribosomal RNA". It matches the Rfam family "Bacterial large subunit ribosomal RNA", at positions 698 to 925 of the family's 2925-position model. Lineage: Bacteria; Bacillati; Bacillota; Clostridia; Peptostreptococcales; Peptostreptococcaceae. The record is from RNAcentral.